UACCAAUCGGUUAUUGGCUAGUUUAGG
Molecule: small RNA, 27 nt
Filed under: Bombyx mori (domestic silkworm)
Lineage: Eukaryota; Metazoa; Arthropoda; Insecta; Lepidoptera; Bombycidae
Description: ovarian small RNA-20528
Source: RNAcentral